RNAcentral lists this ribosomal RNA (1271 nucleotides) under Ibacus alticrenatus. Its description in RNAcentral is "16S ribosomal RNA". The stretch from base 582 to 1271 matches the Rfam family "Archaeal large subunit ribosomal RNA", at positions 1423 to 2800 of the family's 2987-position model. Lineage: Eukaryota; Metazoa; Arthropoda; Malacostraca; Decapoda; Scyllaridae. The record is from RNAcentral.
UUUUUAAUUUGUUUAAAAUAGUAUAAAAAAGAAAAUUAAUAAAAUAUUGGCUUUAGUAAAAAAGUAUUGUAAAAGAAAAGUUGAAAUAAUAUGAAAAUUUAAUUAAUAAAAAGUAUAAUUUAAAAUUAGUACCUUGUGUAUCAGGGAGUAUUAAAUUUUUUUAUAUAAGUUAAAAAUCUCGAAAAAAGAAUAGCUAGUAUAAUAAUUUUGUUUUAAUGUCAAAUAAAUUUAAAAUAUUAUAUUAGUAGUGAAAUAUUAGACGGGUCUUUUGAUAUCUAGUUUUUUUAGAAAUGAAUUUAAUUCUGUUGUUUAAAAUAUAUUUUUAAACUAAAAAUAAUAGGAGGGAUAAGCUUCUUAUUAUGAGUGUACUAUAGUAUAAAUGUAAUAAAGUGUCAAAUUAGGCUUAAAAAUAGCCAUAUUUAUAAAGUGUUGUAAUUAAGAUAAGAUUGUAAAGUUAUUUAAAUAAUUUAUUUAGUUGUAUUAUAAAUAAGUUUUAAAAAAUUAAUUAUUAAAAGUAAUAAUAAUAUUAUUAGUAUAGUUGUUAUUUGAUUUAAAAAAGUAAAAUAAUGUAUUUUUUAUAAUAUAAUUAAGGUAUUAUAAAGGAAUUCGGCAAAAUUAGCUUUUGCCUGUUUAUCAAAAACAUGUCUUUAUGGUAUUUAUAUAAAGUCUAACCUGCCCAGUGAUGUAAAUUUAAAGGCCGCGGUAUAUUGACCGUGCGAAGGUAGCAUAAUAAUUUGUUUUUUAAUUGAGGACUAGUAUGAAUGGUUGAACAAAAAGCUGGCUGUCUCUAAAAUAAAUCUUGAAAUUAACUUUUAAGUGAAAAGGCUUAAAUAUUUUAAGGGGACGAUAAGACCCUAUAAAUCUUUAUAUUUUAAAUUUGUUAGUUUAAAAAAUGGUUUAAAUUUUGAUUUAAUAAAUUAAAAUAUUUUGUUGGGGAGACAGGAGUAUAAAAAGUAACUGCUUUAUAAUUUAAGUUAAUAAUAUUUAGUUAAGUGAUCCUUUAAUAUGGAUUUUAGAUUAAGUUACUUUAGGGAUAACAGCAUAAUUUUUUUUAAGAGUUCAUAUCGAAAAAGAAGGUUGUGACCUCGAUGUUGAAUUAAAGAUCCUUUAUGGUGCAGAAGUUAUAAAAGGAGGUCUGUUCGACCUUUAAAUCUUUACAUGAUUUGAGUUCAGACCGGCGUAAGCCAGGUCGGUUUCUAUCUCUUAGUAGAUAAUUUGUAUUUUUUUAGUACGAAAGGAUUAAAAAAUAAUAAUAAUUGUGGCGUUAGAAU